GGUUCCACCUUUGUGUAUCUGAUCUUCUUCACCGCCUGCUGUGUGACGCACAUAAACCUGAUGGAGGUCCGAUCUAGCUGAAGCUUGUUUGCAACAGACUUGAACGGAAUACAACACACACAUUCUGUGUUCAUGAGCACAGAUUAACUGUCAAACUGCGGCUCCCGAACAAUGUCUCAACAAUUCCUACAGGACGAACCAUGAUAUCAACUACAUCGUUAUCGACUACCUAAACCCACGAGGAUGAAUUGAAGCCGGCAAACUUCAGUCAUCGCCGAAAAGGUGAUCUGGUCACAUGAUCCGAGCGCAUCUCUCUGGAAACUUCCACUCCAGUGACGGUAUCGAUGUGCCGAGCUAAAUGAUAUUCCGCCGGAGCUAAACAAGAUAAGAGGAAAUUUGUAGAUGAGGUGAUAGCAGCUUAUGGAGGUGAAAGGCACACACAGGAGCGUCGGACUCCUACCACUCAAAAUGGCAAAAAUAAUGACUGCUUUAUCAAUCUGUACAGGAUUUUUGUUUGUUAUUGUUGCUUAGAAAACUGCUUGAUAUUUCAUUUUAUUUUAUUUUUCUAAAUUUGCAGUGUGACUUGAGGAGUUAUAUGUACUUUUAUGUACUUCAAUCGGUGAAAUCAUCUGAGUUGAUAUCAUCUGAGCUUCUAUGAGAGCUGUGACAUAGAAGCAGAGUCCUGACUCGGUUUAGAUGACUGAAAGUCGGAGUCCUGACUCACAGACAGAAAAUCGUUCAUUUGUUUAUACUGAAUGAAAAUUUCCUAGAAGUCUGUUUCA
Long non-coding RNA from Tachysurus fulvidraco (yellow catfish), 782 nucleotides. RefSeq lists it as uncharacterized. Lineage: Eukaryota; Metazoa; Chordata; Actinopteri; Siluriformes; Bagridae. The record is from RefSeq and is a predicted model, not a curated record. The transcript is spliced from 3 exons.